GUGGAUCCUCGGUUAACCAUUUUAAUUCUCUAAAGCACCUGACCGCAACGGGAGGGCGCGUAACGGAGAUGUUCACCUCCUCUUCCUCCUCUUCCUCCUCUGGAGUCUCACGGCCAUGAGGCCCAUGACACUCUCCUUCACGCUUUCUCAUGGCCUUAACACUCAAAGCCAGUAAUGGCUUCGUAUCUCGCAUCAGAGCCCUAUUCAAACUGCAGAGAUUUAGCCACGCAAUAGUCGACGGAGGACUACAACCUCAAUUCCACCGAGAUAUGGGUUCGGAUUCGAACUCAAUCCCAGAACAAUGUCAAAUUGACAUGUCGAAAUGGAAAAAAUUGGACUCAAGGACCUUCGGUAUAACGCGGUCGAUGAUUUCAUCGCCCUCAUGGGUUGUCUUGAAACUUCUUCAGCGUGAAGGAUUUGAAGCCUACCUGGUAGGUGGGUGUGUGAGAGACUUAAUCCUGAAUAAAACACCUAAAGAUUUUGAUGUGAUCACCACAGCUAAACUUAAACAGAUCAAGAAGAGAUUUCGCCGUGCUCAGAUUGUUGGACGGCGGUUUCCUAUAUGCAGAGUGCAUGUUAAAGGUUCUGUAAUUGAGGUAUCCAGCUUUGAAACAGUGGCAAAGCAUGGUGAAGAAAAAGAAAAAGUUAGUUUCUCCCAAAUGCCAAGUGGUUGUGAUGAAAGUGACUUCAAUCGCUGGAGGAACUGUAUGCAUCGAGAUUUCACAAUUAACAGUUUAUUCUUUGAUCCUUUUGUGAAUAAAAUCUAUGAUUACGCUAAUGGAAUGAAGGAUUUGAGGUCCUUAAAGCUACGGACAUUAAUCCCCGCACAGUUGUCAUUCAAAGAGGACUGCGCUAGAAUGUUGCGGGGUUUAAGAAUUGCAGCUCGUCUAGGCCUGUCAUUUUCAAGGGAAACUGAGACUGCAAUACGAAGCCUUGCUUCAUCUGUUAAGAGUUUGGACAAGUCCAGGAUAAUGUUGGAGUUAAACUAUAUGCUGUCUUAUGGAUCCGCUAAGCCUUCUCUCUGUUUACUUUGGAGAUUCAACCUGCUUGACAUUCUGCUUCCAUUUCAUGGAGCAUACCUUGCUCAACAGGCCACUGAACCAUCUGCACAGCAUUCCAUGAUGUUUAUGAAAUUAUUCUUCAAUUUGGAUAAAUUGGUUACUUGUGAUCGACCUUGUGAUUGCAGUCUAUGGGUUGGACUGUUGGCAUUUCACAUGGCAUUAGUAAACAAACCCCAAGAUGCUUCUGUAGUUUGGACUUUAUCUUCUGUUCUAUAUCAUGGGAAGUGGACAGAAGGUGUUAAAUUUGCAAGAAAACAUGCUCUAGCGCCAAUUAGUUUCUCACCUGAGAUUUUAGUGGAAUGUGAUUCUAAAUCAGAUGAAGAACUAGCAGAAAGAGUUUCUGAGUUGGCAUCACUUGUGCAAGAUUGUGCAAUUUCUUCGACUAAAACGGGUGACCUUUCUGCAUCAAUGUCCGACUACCCUGACUACCCAUGCUCCGGUUUGGUAUUUGUACAGAAGAGGAUGGCAGAACGUGUUGCUCAUAUUUUUAAUGUGCUGGUGAAUGGUAUUGAAUCUUAUAAGGAGGGAAGGGAGAGUCCUGAGAUUGACUAUUACUUGCUCGGAAAGGGAGAUCUGAGAGAGACUAGAUUUGUUCUUGGCAAAGUUAUUAUGGACACAAUGAGCAGUGGGCUUGUCCAGAUGGGAACAGAGGUUCUUGAGGAGAAAAAUCAGCUGCACAUGUCUUAUAAUGAACAGAAGCCAGAGGCACUCGAACAGGAUUGCCAUCCCAUUCUUUAUGAGGUGGUAAAACAUCUGGUGGUUGCUAAGGAGGAUAAAAAACGCAGUCUAUCAUCAUUUAAUCCUGAACUACAGCAAGAGAGGGGAAAGAAGCAGAAGUUGGUUGACAUAGAGUUCGAUCCUUUAGAGCAGGAGAUUGCUAAGGAGAAGCAGAAAGAAAAGAAUAACAAACACCAGGAGAUAGCAAAAAAGCAGGAGAUGGCUGAGAAUGAGCAGCACCAGGAAAUGGCCAAGAAGCAUUUGAAAAUGGUAGGGAAGGAGAAUCUCCAAAAAUCAGCUAAAAGGCAGGAUAAAGUAGCUAAGAACAGUCAUUUACCACAACAGAAGUUGGCUAGAAAGCAAAAUGAGCAGCACAAGCUAGAAGAAGCAGUUAAUCAGAAACCUAGUCGACCGUCAUUAUCCAGUCUCUUCAAGUGAAUGUAUCUUUCUGCUGUAAAUUACUACCCAGUUACUUGGUUAGCAUCACAGUGAAACUGACCUUUGACAAUAACAGGUCUACCACAAAGGGGCAUGUCAUCUUCCCCACUUCAUCUCUCAAUUACUGUGAACAUUCUGCCCAUUCUGAUGGUUCCAUCACAUGGAAAGUUCCGGGUAAUAAUAGUAGUAGUCUUCAGUUCAAAGGCCAUAGCAGAUUGAAAUAAAUAGAUUUGUGGUUAUGUUUUGGAAAGUCUGUCAGUGAAUGUCAGAUAUGACAGGGCCCGUCAAAUGCUAAAUACUGAUUCUAAAAUGCCCUUCAGAUUGGAGGCUUCAGCA
Vitis vinifera (wine grape) is the source of this 2552-nucleotide RNA transcript. RefSeq lists it as uncharacterized. NCBI's taxonomy places the organism in Eukaryota, Viridiplantae, Streptophyta, Magnoliopsida, Vitales, Vitaceae. The transcript is spliced from 15 exons. The record is from RefSeq and is a predicted model, not a curated record.